RNAcentral lists this ribosomal RNA (447 nucleotides) under uncultured bacterium. Its description in RNAcentral is "partial 16S ribosomal RNA". It matches the Rfam family "Bacterial small subunit ribosomal RNA", at positions 29 to 523 of the family's 1533-position model. The record is from RNAcentral.
AGCGAACGCUGGCGGCAGGCUUAACACAUGCAAGUCGAACGCCCCGCAAGGGGAGUGGCAGACGGGUGAGUAACACGUGGGAACGUACCCUUUGGUUCGGAAUAACUUGGGGAAACUCAAGCUAAUACCGGAUAAGCCCUUAUGGGGAAAGGCUUACUGCCGAAGGAUCGGCCCGCGUCUGAUUAGCUAGUUGGUGAGGUAAUGGCUCACCAAGGCGACGAUCAGUAGCUGGUCUGAGAGGAUGAUCAGCCACACUGGGACUGAGACACGGCCCAGACUCCUACGGGAGGCAGCAGUGGGGAAUAUUGGACAAUGGGGGCAACCCUGAUCCAGCCAUGCCGCGUGAGUGAUGAAGGCCUUAGGGUUGUAAAGCUCUUUUACCCGGGACGAUAAUGACUGUACCUGCAGAAUAAGAGGUUGCUAACUCUGUGCCAGCCGCCGCAGUAA